Molecule: long non-coding RNA, 1345 nt
Filed under: Meleagris gallopavo (turkey)
Lineage: Eukaryota; Metazoa; Chordata; Aves; Galliformes; Phasianidae
Description: lncRNA (ENSMGAG00000021390.1)
Source: RNAcentral
AUGAAGUGCAAUCAAACUGGCACAAAAUGUUUUCCUUGGAAAAGACAUAUUGCUACAUGGUAUUAUGGCCACUUGAAAUCCACCCUGAUGUCCCAAGAGAAGAGGAAGUCCCUCAGAUGUCUUUACCUGAUUGCACCUGAGCUUGUCAGAGUCCUUCCUUCCUGUUGCUACCACAUCUGCUGUAAUAUCAGCUGCCUGGAAUGGCAUCCCUCUAGCAUGCAAAGCUGCAGAGCCUCAUGGCAAGACGUGGUCUUCCUGGAGGGAGCAAGGAGACCCCAUCCCAUGCUGUUGCAAAAUGGAGAGUUCCAGCUUUAUCACAGCUCAGGUGACUAUUUUUUGUAAAAUCAGUCUAGAAAAGUAUGUUUUGAAUUCAAUUUUCAAUGUCAUUUAACGUUACUGUUAAAUGGCAGUUAUGGUGUGGUACAAACUGAAGCAAGUCUAUUAGUAUCUGCUCUUGGUUUGGCAGCUGAUGUUUGGCAUCAAUUUUGCCAUUUCCUUACCUUCAGCUGCUCCUUUACUGCAGACUUUGGGUCAGGCUUGACUUUAGUUCAUCUCCAGCAUCUUCUCCACCUAGAGAUUCAUCCCCACUCUUUUCCUACCUCUUCUAAUUAGCUUGAGACAGUUCUCUAUUUCUCUUUUUAUUAUUAUUUUUUUUUCCAAGAGACAAAGAGUGAAAGCAAUCAGAAAAGUGUUAUUCCUGGAAGCACCAAAUUUAAACCUGGGAGGAUCUGUGUCCUGGAAAGAACUUGAGGUCCCACUCAAAUGCUGCUUCUCAUCCUCUCCCCAGAUGUGUGCUCACAUACACAGGCAUAUCCCACUGGGAAAUGACAAGGAGCAGCCAGGGGAAAUGGACUUCAGAGAUACAAAAUGCUCCAUUCUGCCUCCCAAGGAAUGGAUAAGGUGGAAGAGGAAGUGCCAAAUCCCAAACAAACCCCGCAUGUACACCUGUGAUUGUGUACACACAGCUCUUUGAACCCGCAGGAGACAAAAAGCAGAUGAGAAGCUCAACUCGAUGAGGCAGCCUGGGUAUUUACAUUAUUGCAUGCUAAUGACGGCACAUGAGCCAGAGUAUAAACCUGGCCUCUGUGAAAAUGGGGGAGACCAGUAGGAGUUGUUUCCCUGUUUUAUGGAUGUGAAUGCUUGAAACUGAAGGCAGUGCCUGGAUCUCUUUUGCGUAUAGCCCUUGGACUUUCCUUCAGUUUUAGUCUAAUUAUUGAUAAUUAUUGAAGAUGAUUAUCCAGGAAUCAUAAAAUAUAUGAUUGUUUAGCAACAUAUCUUAAAGAGUUACUUCCAGACUGAAAAAGAUGAGAGAAAGGAAAUUUUAUUCCUGCCAAAGCACAUAGCU